RNAcentral lists this transfer RNA (67 nucleotides) under Marmota monax (woodchuck). Its description in RNAcentral is "tRNA.Ala". Lineage: Eukaryota; Metazoa; Chordata; Mammalia; Rodentia; Sciuridae. The record is from RNAcentral.
GAGUGUGGCUCAGAGGUAGAGUUCUCACCUAGCACGCACGAGGCCCUGGGUCCGAUCCUCAGCACCA